GUUCGGGGCAUUGCCUUGACUGGGGGCGUCAGUCUCUUUAGACUCAUGCACCCCUAAAUUUGGCAGGGCGUUGUGCUCUGCCAUUUUGCUUUUGUUGUAAUAAAUAGCGUCGAAAGACAACAGUGGAGCUAGUAGA
RNAcentral lists this small RNA (136 nucleotides) under Pseudomonas sp. 8AS. Its description in RNAcentral is "rpsL_psuedo". It matches the Rfam family "Pseudomonas rpsL leader". The record is from RNAcentral. Lineage: Bacteria; Pseudomonadati; Pseudomonadota; Gammaproteobacteria; Pseudomonadales; Pseudomonadaceae.